ACGCCGCGUGAACGAUGAAGGCCUUCGGGUCGUAAAGUUCUGUUGUUAGAGAAGAACAAGUACGAGAGUAACUGCUCGUACCUUGACGGUACCUAACCAGAAAGCCACGGCUAACUACGUGCCAGCAGCCGCGGUAAUACGUAGGUGGCAAGCGUUGUCCGGAAUUAUUGGGCGUAAAGCGCGCGCAGGCGGUUCCUUAAGUCUGAUGUGAAAGCCCACGGCUCAACCGUGGAGGGUCAUUGGAAACUGGGGAACUUGAGUGCAGAAGAGGAGAGCGGAAUUCCACGUGUAGCGGUGAAAUGCGUAGAGAUGUGGAGGAACACCAGUGGCGAAGGCGGCUCUCUGGUCUGUAACUGACGCUGAGGCGCGAAAGCGUGGGGAGCAAACAGGAUUAGAUACCCUGGUAGUCCACGCCGUAAACGAUGAGUGCUAAGUGUUAGAGGGUUUCCGCCCUUUAGUGCUGCAGCUAACGCAUUAA
Molecule: ribosomal RNA, 478 nt
Filed under: Priestia iocasae
Lineage: Bacteria; Bacillati; Bacillota; Bacilli; Caryophanales; Bacillaceae
Description: bacterial SSU rRNA
Rfam family: Bacterial small subunit ribosomal RNA
Source: RNAcentral